GACGAACGCUGGCGGCGUGCUUAACACAUGCAAGUCGAGCGGUAAGGCCCUUUCGGGGGUACACGAGCGGCGAACGGGUGAGUAACACGUGGGUGACCUGCCCUCAGCUCUGGGAUAAGCCUGGGAAACCGGGUCUAAUACCGGAUAUGGACUCCAUGACGCAUGUUGUGGGGUGGAAAGCCUUGUGCGGCUGAGGAUGGGCCCGCGGCCUAUCAGCUUGUUGGUGGGGUGAUGGCCUACCAAGGCGACGACGGGUAGCCGGCCUGAGAGGGCGACCGGCCACACUGGGACUGAGACACGGCCCAGACUCCUACGGGAGGCAGCAGUGGGGAAUCUUGCGCAAUGGGCGAAAGCCUGACGCAGCGACGCCGCGUGAGGGAUGACGGCCU
Molecule: ribosomal RNA, 389 nt
Filed under: uncultured bacterium
Lineage: Bacteria
Description: bacterial SSU rRNA
Rfam family: Bacterial small subunit ribosomal RNA
Source: RNAcentral